Molecule: long non-coding RNA, 645 nt
Filed under: Monodelphis domestica (gray short-tailed opossum)
Lineage: Eukaryota; Metazoa; Chordata; Mammalia; Didelphimorphia; Didelphidae
Description: lncRNA (ENSMODG00000035194.2)
Source: RNAcentral
AUGAGGAAACUGAAGCAAACAGUUAAGUGACUUGCCCAAAGAACACAGCUAGACCAGUUAUGAGAUUAGAGAUCAUCACCCAUCUGAGGAGAAGGCAACACCAUACUUACUCACCAGAGGACAGCUUCUGCAUUACUUCCACAACCAGGCCUCUAGUCAACAUUACGUCCAGCUCAGCGACGACAUCCUAAAAUAACAUAGAUAAUGAUCCCUAAGAGUGUCUGCUGGAAAUACUCUCCUCACGAUAGAACAAGACAAAAGAGUUUUCAAGUUCCCCAGUUGCAUCCCAAACCUGUACCAUUAAGACUACAAUUACCCAAGAGCUCUCAUGAUCCCAUGAAUAACUCCCUUAGACAUGAGUUACCUACACCCUGGACAAAGUUACCAGGCAACCAAAAACACUCCAAUGAAAUCCUUGAAAAUUCCAAAGUCCAAGGAUUCCAACUUCUGUCAAGAUUUUAGGAGAUCUUCAAAGGAAAACGAACAAGUUUUAAGUCCUUUUCACAUUGACCUGGCUCCCUUAGUGUUCAGUGAGCAGCUAUAUCCAUUUACUCGAAAGAGUCAUGCCUCUAAGGAAGUAGAUAUUCCUGUACCUCUUUGGUCUUCUUAGUCCCAGUGACUUAAUAAAUCUCUGAUUGUAAAUCA